This 293-nucleotide signal recognition particle RNA is filed under the name Saimiri boliviensis boliviensis (Bolivian squirrel monkey). Its description in RNAcentral is "Metazoan signal recognition particle RNA (ENSSBOG00000001417.1)". It matches the Rfam family "Metazoan signal recognition particle RNA". Rfam says of the family: The signal recognition particle (SRP) is a universally conserved ribonucleoprotein. It is involved in the co-translational targeting of proteins to membranes. The record is from RNAcentral. Lineage: Eukaryota; Metazoa; Chordata; Mammalia; Primates; Cebidae.
GCCAGGCACGUGCCUGUAGUCCCAGCUACUCGGGAGGCUGAGGUGGGAGGAUUGCUUGAGCCCAGGAGUUCUGGGCUGUAGUACGCUAUGCCGAUCGGAUGUCCGCACUAAGUUCGGCAUCAAUAUGGUUGGUGACCUCCCAGAAGCGGGGGACCACCAGGUUGCUUAAGGAGAGGUGAACUGGCCCAGGUCAGAAACGGAGCCGGUCAAAACUCCCAUGCUGAUCAGUAGUGGGAUCGCGCCUGUGAAUAGCCAUGGCACUCCAGCCUGGACAACAUAGAGACCAGGUCUCU